RNAcentral lists this ribosomal RNA (786 nucleotides) under uncultured bacterium. RNAcentral's name for it is "bacterial SSU rRNA". It matches the Rfam family "Bacterial small subunit ribosomal RNA", at positions 28 to 920 of the family's 1533-position model. The record is from RNAcentral.
GAUGAACGCUAGCUACAGGCUUAACACAUGCAAGUCGAGGGACCGGCGCACGGGUGAGUAACGCGUAUCCAACCUUCCCGCGACUGGGGGAUAACCUUGCGAAAGUAAGACUAAUACCCCAUGGUUGUGGAUGGGGAUGCGUCUGAUUAGCUUGUUGGCGGGGUAACGGCCCACCAAGGCUACGAUCAGUAGGGGUUCUGAGAGGAAGGUCCCCCACAUUGGAACUGAGACACGGUCCAAACUCCUACGGGAGGCAGCAGUGAGGAAUAUUGGUCAAUGGGCGAGAGCCUGAACCAGCCAAGUAGCGUGCAGGAUGACGGCCUAUGGGUUGUAAACUGCUUUUAUACGGGAAUAUGUACCGUAUGAAUAAGGACCGGCUAAUUCCGUGCCAGCAGCCGCGGUAAUACGGAAGGUCCGGGCGUUAUCCGGAUUUAUUGGGUUUAAAGGGAGCGUAGGCCGCCGAUUAAGCGUGUUGUGAAAUGCCGCAGCUCAACUGUGGCACUGCAGCGCGAACUGGUUGGCUUGAGUGCGCGGAAGGCAGGCGGAAUUUGUGGUGUAGCGGUGAAAUGCUUAGAUAUCACGAAGAACCCCGAUUGCGAAGGCAGCCUGCCGCAGCGUAACUGACGCUGAAGCUCGAAAGUGCGGGUAUCGAACAGGAUUAGAUACCCUGGUAGUCCGCACGGUAAACGAUGGAUGCCCGCUUCCGGAGUGGCCAAGCGAAAGCGUUAAGCAUCCCACCUGGGGAGUACGCCGGCAACGGUGCAACUCAAAGGAAUUGACGGAAUG